CCUCCUUCUUUAUCUUUCUCCAGCUAACGUUAGUUCAGUGCUGUUAGCUCGGAAAGACACCGCAUAAAUGAGUCGCAAAACGAAAAAAAAGAUGCGCAAAGGUGACGCGGUUUACUACAGAAUCUCUUCCUGAAGGAGGGAACUUUAAAAAAACAAAACAAAACUACGCGACGUGACGUUAGAGACCAAAAAGUCUGUCGCGUGCAGCAGCUCAAGUACAGAAAUGCAUCAAGGAGAUUCUAGAUGACUCGUCCAGAAUGGAACAAACUUCUGCUUCCUGCUCACGGAGACCUGGUUGGACUUGUUCAGCUUCACACAGUAUACAUAAAGUUGAUCUUCAUGAAGAUCUUCAAACAGU
Long non-coding RNA from Solea senegalensis (Senegalese sole), 358 nucleotides. RefSeq lists it as uncharacterized. The record is from RefSeq and is a predicted model, not a curated record. The transcript is spliced from 3 exons. Lineage: Eukaryota; Metazoa; Chordata; Actinopteri; Pleuronectiformes; Soleidae.